RNAcentral lists this ribosomal RNA (417 nucleotides) under Triticum aestivum (bread wheat). Its description in RNAcentral is "partial small subunit ribosomal RNA". The record is from RNAcentral. Lineage: Eukaryota; Viridiplantae; Streptophyta; Magnoliopsida; Poales; Poaceae.
AUGUUGAAUGACAGGAUAAACACAUGUGAACUUUUGACUCGAAAAAGAAUGCAACUUGACUCCACCACAUGUGUUUUAUGUAAUGUUGAAGAUAUGGAAGAUAGAACUCACCUCCUUUUCACCUGCCCAUUCAGUCAAGGAUUUUGGUGGACCAUUGGACUAGAAUGGAAAUCUGAUCUUGACAUCCACAAUAUGGUAAUGGAUGCUAAUCACAGAUACAAAAUCAAACAUUUCAUGGAAAUUAUGAUAGUGGGUUGCUGGAGCAUUUGGAACCAAAGAAAUGGGAUGAUAUUUGAGGGAAUUCCUUGCUCAAUAAAUGAAUGCAAGUUUGAUUUCAUCAGGUCUUUCAAGAUCACAAUAAUGAGAGCUAAACCAUCUCUAAAGGAUGGCAUGUCAUCCUGGAUUGAUAACAUUUAG